CCCUACGGGGGGCAGCAGUAGGGAAUAUUGCUCAAUGGGGGAAACCCUGAAGCAGCAACGCCGCGUGGAGGAUGAAGGUUUUCGGAUUGUAAACUCCUUUUGUUAGAGAAGAUAAUGACGGGAGCGAACGAAUAAGCACCGGCUAACUCCGUGCCAGCAGCCGCGGUGCUACGGAGGGUGCAGGGGUUACUCGGAAUCACUGGGCGUAAAGAGCGCGUAGGGUGGUUAGCAAGUCCGCGGUUUACUCCUCUGGCUUACACAUAGGACUGCAUUUGAAACUGUUAUUCUCUAGUAUGGGAGGGGUGGGUGGAAUUCUUGGUGUAGGGGUAAAAUCCGUAGAGAUCAAGAGGAAUACUCAUUGCGAAGGCGACCUGCUAGAACAUAACUGACGCUGCUGCGCGAAAGCGUGGGGAGCAAACAGGAUUAGAUACCCUAGUAGUC
Molecule: ribosomal RNA, 441 nt
Filed under: uncultured bacterium
Lineage: Bacteria
Description: partial 16S ribosomal RNA
Rfam family: Bacterial small subunit ribosomal RNA
Source: RNAcentral